CUUACAUAGACAAAGAGCAUAAACAUAAUAGCAGGCCGUGUUAAAACCAUUGAACACAAAUUCAAUCUUCAUGACACUUUCCCUUUUCCUUAUUGUCCGACUUCUUGUUUCCCUAUCGAAUAGUAACAUUUAAUGAUAUCUCCACAUCCUUCUCUUCAAUCUUUAGAUCCGCAACUGUUUGUAAAAUUUGAGAUAAGUCUUGAAAAGGUUUUGUAGCCUUUGUUUGACAAAACAUCCGCCCUCUGUUUCACUUUCAUCGCAAAUGCCACUAGGCUGUCCAGGUUCAAAUCGCGAGGCCUUGUUCUUGUUGAAGUUAACAUCUCUCCAUUCAAAAUAUCCGCAUUCCAAUGUACAACACAUGAACAUUCAACCUCUAUUAUCCGUCUCCCUCUCUACCUCCAUCAUCUUCACUAUUCCCAUAACACAGUCUGGACAUUGCUUCUUAUUUGGACAAUUCCACAACUUGUGCCCAGGAUCUCUACAGCUAUGACAAAUACUUCUGUUCUUCCCUUCCAUUCUGAAAUGCAACUGCAAAUGUAAUAACAGCAAGUUAAAACUCCAUUGAAGUCAUCAUACAACACAACUCAAUGAAUGAAUACAUCAACAAGAAGUUUGCAUAUUAAU
Molecule: long non-coding RNA, 624 nt
Filed under: Olea europaea subsp. europaea
Lineage: Eukaryota; Viridiplantae; Streptophyta; Magnoliopsida; Lamiales; Oleaceae
Source: RNAcentral